CCUACGGGAGGCAGCAGUGAGGAAUAUUGGUCAAUGGGCGUAAGCCUGAACCAGCCAAGUCGCGUGAGGGAUGAAGGUUCUAUGGAUCGUAAACCUCUUUUAUAAGGGAAUAAAGUGUGGGACGUGUCCUAUUUUGUAUGUACCUUAUGAAUAAGGAUCGGCUAACUCCGUGCCAGCAGCCGCGGUAAUACGGAGGAUCCGAGCGUUAUCCGGAUUUAUUGGGUUUAAAGGGUGCGUAGGCGGCCUUUUAAGUCAGCUGUGAAAGGCUGUGGCUCAACCAGAGAAUUGCCGUUGAAACUGGGGGGCUUGAGUAUGUUUGAGGCAGGCGGAAGGCGUGGUGUAGCGGUGAAAUGAUUAGAUAUCACGCAGAACCCCGAUGGCGAAGGCAGCCUGCCAAGCCAUGACUGACGCUGAUGCGCGAAAGCGUGGGGAUCAAACAGGAUUAGAUACCCGAGUAGUC
This 460-nucleotide ribosomal RNA is filed under the name uncultured bacterium. Its description in RNAcentral is "partial 16S ribosomal RNA". It matches the Rfam family "Bacterial small subunit ribosomal RNA", at positions 338 to 795 of the family's 1533-position model. The record is from RNAcentral.